Molecule: ribosomal RNA, 558 nt
Filed under: uncultured bacterium
Lineage: Bacteria
Description: bacterial SSU rRNA
Rfam family: Bacterial small subunit ribosomal RNA
Source: RNAcentral
UUUGUGCAAUGGGCGAAAGCCUGACGCAGCAACGCCGCGUGAGUGAUGAAGGCUUUCGGGUCGUAAAGCUCUGUCGAGGGGAAAGAAGUGUACGGGGGCUAAUAUCCUCUGUACUUGACGGUACCCCUAAAGGAAGCACCGGCUAACUCCGUGCCAGCAGCCGCGGUAAUACGGGGGGUGCAAGCGUUGUUCGGAAUUAUUGGGCGUAAAGCGCGUGUAGGCGGUCUGAUUAGUCUGAUGUGAAAGCCCUGGGCUCAACCCAGGAAGUGCAUUGGAUACUGUCAGACUUGAAUACGGGAGAGGGUAGUGGAAUUCCUAGUGUAGGAGUGAAAUCCGUAGAUAUUAGGAGGAACACCGGUGGCGAAGGCGGCUACCUGGACCGAUAUUGACGCUGAGACGCGAAAGCGUGGGUAGCAAACAGGAUUAGAUACCCUGGUAGUCCACGCCGUAAACGAUGAGUACUAGGUGUUGCGGGUAUUGACCCCUGCAGUGCCGCAGCUAACGCAUUAAGUACUCCGCCUGGGAAGUGCGGUCGCAAGACUAAAACUCAAAGGAAUU